CCUACGGGUGGCUGCAGUGGGGAAUAUUGCACAAUGGGCGCAAGCCUGAUGCAGCGACGCCGCGUGGGGGAUGACGGCCUUCGGGUUGUAAACUCCUUUCGUUAGGGACGAAGCCGCACCUUUUUUGGGUGUGGUGACGGUACCUUUGUUAAGAAGCACCGGCUAACUACGUGCCAGCAGCCGCGGUAAUACGUAGGGUGCGAGCGUUGUCCGGAAUUACUGGGCGUAAAGAGCUCGUAGGUGGUUUGUUGCGUCGUCUGUGAAAUUCCGGGGCUUAACUUCGGGGGGGCAGGCGAUACGG
Molecule: ribosomal RNA, 301 nt
Filed under: uncultured Corynebacterium sp.
Lineage: Bacteria; Bacillati; Actinomycetota; Actinomycetes; Mycobacteriales; Corynebacteriaceae
Description: bacterial SSU rRNA
Rfam family: Bacterial small subunit ribosomal RNA
Source: RNAcentral